This 69-nucleotide transfer RNA is filed under the name Marmota monax (woodchuck). RNAcentral describes it as "tRNA.Ala". Lineage: Eukaryota; Metazoa; Chordata; Mammalia; Rodentia; Sciuridae. The record is from RNAcentral.
GGUUGUGGCUCAGAGGUAGAGCACUCUUGCCUAGCAUACGUGAGGCACUGGGUUCGAUCCUCAGCACCA